This 665-nucleotide ribosomal RNA is filed under the name Exiguobacterium mexicanum. RNAcentral's name for it is "bacterial SSU rRNA". It matches the Rfam family "Bacterial small subunit ribosomal RNA", at positions 14 to 648 of the family's 1533-position model. The record is from RNAcentral. Lineage: Bacteria; Bacillati; Bacillota; Bacilli; Caryophanales.
UGAUCGUGGCUCAGGACGAACGCUGGCGGCGUGCCUAAUACAUGCAAGUCGAGCGCAGGAAAUCGACGGAACCCUUCGGGGGGAAGUCGACGGAAUGAGCGGCGGACGGGUGAGUAACACGUAAAGAACCUGCCCUCAGGUCUGGGAUAACCACGAGAAAUCGGGGCUAAUACCGGAUGGGUCAUCGGACCGCAUGGUCCGAGGAUGAAAGGCGCUUCGGCGUCGCCUGGGGAUGGCUUUGCGGUGCAUUAGCUAGUUGGUGGGGUAAUGGCCCACCAAGGCGACGAUGCAUAGCCGACCUGAGAGGGUGAUCGGCCACACUGGGACUGAGACACGGCCCAGACUCCUACGGGAGGCAGCAGUAGGGAAUCUUCCACAAUGGACGAAAGUCUGAUGGAGCAACGCCGCGUGAACGAUGAAGGCCUUCGGGUCGUAAAGUUCUGUUGUAAGGGAAGAACAAGUGCCGCAGGCAAUGGCGGCACCUUGACGGUACCUUGCGAGAAAGCCACGGCUAACUACGUGCCAGCAGCCGCGGUAAUACGUAGGUGGCAAGCGUUGUCCGGAAUUAUUGGGCGUAAAGCGCGCGCAGGCGGNCCUCUUANGUCUGAUGUGAAAGCCCCCGGCUCANCCGGGGAAGGNCCAUUGAAAACUGGGAGGCUUGAGUC